ACUCUCCAAAUUCCGUCCCCAUCCGAUCUCAACAUUGGUCUGAGUGGCAGUAAAAGGAGGAAAAGUAAAAGGGAAACAGAUUUGGAUGCUUUUGUGACAUACAAGUCGGUUUCACACAGCA
Small nucleolar RNA from Echinops telfairi (small Madagascar hedgehog), 121 nucleotides. RefSeq annotates it as small nucleolar RNA SNORA61. Lineage: Eukaryota; Metazoa; Chordata; Mammalia; Afrosoricida; Tenrecidae. The record is from RefSeq and is a predicted model, not a curated record. The transcript has a single exon.